UGCCUCAGUAACGGCGAGUGAAGCGGCAACAGCUCAAAUUUGAAAUCUGGCCUCACGGUCCGAGUUGUAAUUUGUAGAGGAUGUUUCGGGUGCGUCUCCGGUCUAAGUUCCUUGGAACAGGGCGUCAUAGAGGGUGAGAAUCCCGUACGUGACUGGUUGACAACCCCAUGUGAAACUCCUUCGACGAGUCGAGUUGUUUGGGAAUGCAGCUCAAAAUGGGUGGUAUAUUUCAUCUAAAGCUAAAUAUUGGCCAGAGACCGAUAGCGCACAAGUAGAGUGAUCGAAAGAUGAAAAGCACUUUGGAAAGAGAGUUAAAAAGUACGUGAAAUUGUUGAAAGGGAAGCGCUUGCAACCAGACUUGCCCGGGGGUGAUCAACCGUCCUUUUGGGCGGUGCACUCUCCCUCGGUCAGGCCAGCAUCGAUUCGGGCGGUAGGACAAAGGUUCCGGGAACGUGGCCCACUUCGGUGGGUGUUAUAGCCCGGGGCGUAAUGCUACCAGCCUGGAUCGAGGACCGCGCUUCGGCUAGGAUGCUGGCGUAAUGGUUGCUAGCGACCCGUCUUGAAACACGGACCAAGGAGUCGACCAACUCUGCGAGUGUUUGGGUGUUAAACCCGUGCGCGUAAUGAAAGUGAACGGAGGUAAGAACCCGCAAGGGCGCAUUAUCGACCGAUCCUGAUGUCUUCGGAUGGAUUUGAGUAAGAGCAAAGUUGGUCGGACCCGAAAGAUGGUGAACUAUGCGUGAAUAGGGUGAAGCCAGAGGAAACUCUGGUGGAGGCUCGCAGCGGUUCUGACGUGCAAAUCGAU
RNAcentral lists this ribosomal RNA (805 nucleotides) under Sphaeropezia ochrolechiae. RNAcentral's name for it is "LSU rRNA". It matches the Rfam family "Eukaryotic large subunit ribosomal RNA", at positions 76 to 902 of the family's 3401-position model. Lineage: Eukaryota; Fungi; Ascomycota; Lecanoromycetes; Ostropales; Odontotremataceae. The record is from RNAcentral.